Gadus macrocephalus (Pacific cod) is the source of this 1152-nucleotide long non-coding RNA. RefSeq lists it as uncharacterized. The transcript is spliced from 2 exons. The record is from RefSeq and is a predicted model, not a curated record. Lineage: Eukaryota; Metazoa; Chordata; Actinopteri; Gadiformes; Gadidae.
UUGUGUUCCCCGUAACGUCCCCCGGACCCAGCCGCUCUGCUGGGCUGUCGCAGAAUCUACACGUUCAAUUCAGGGCGUUUAGCAGACGCCUUUAUCCAAAGCGACUUGCAUAUAUUUCCCGCUGUCAGUACAGUUGGGAUGUUCGUGGAACAAACUGCCAAACACUAACAAUUGGUAGGCUAACCCAUUCUCUGUAAACAAGGGUAAGAUACUACACUAUGCUAAGGGAUACUUUUAACCUCUUACAACAUACAUUAUGUGAGUAAGACAGUGUUUUUAGGAGAGUAGGGGCGGUAAGGGGAGAGGCUGUUGAGUCCAGGUGAACUCUGAACAACUGAGUCUUGAGUCUCUUGUUCAGGGUCCAGGUGAACUCUGAACAACUGAGUCUUGAGUCUCUUGUUCAGGGUCCAGGUGAACUGAACAACUGAGUCUUGAGUCUCUUGUUCAGGGUCCAGGUGAACUGAACAACUGAGUCUUGAGUCUCUUGUUCAGGGUCCAGGUGAACUGAACAACUGAGUCUUGAGUCUCUUGUUCAGGCUGGAUCUUCUAGGAGGAGACGACUCGGACCCCAGCCCAGACACUCGACCCUUAAAGGGGCGGUGGUGCCCGGUUUCCUUUCUCGUUGUGGAUAUAUCCUACUGUAGAGGAACUCAUUUUGCGCAGGUGGAAUAAGCCAUUAGAAGGUGUUAUUUGUCUAUUUCUACAGUUGACAUUCUUUGCGGUGUUGAUAUGAAACAUGUGGGAUUUGAUUCACCGUCCCCUCUUGUCAUUUUGCUAUUGGAAGUUUUUCUAUGUAAUAAAAUAGUUGGAAUUAAAACAUUUUAACAGAAUGUAAAGACUACCAUUACAUAAAUGUGUUGAUCCAAAUGCAGGAAAAUCUCCUCUAUUUAUAGCACAGACUGUUAAAUAUCAGGACUGUACCGCACAGAUUGGGACACUUUGCCACCUUAAAAAAAAAGGCUUAACUAAAACACUGGCUCAAUAAUGAGCAUCUUAUAAACCUGAAGGCGCUUUGAAGCUCCAUCCUUAAGGAGGGGCUUAAGAUGCUGUCGAUGUGGACUGGUAUUUGCAUUAAUACUACUUUAUGGAUGAAGGCUAGAACUGUAACGAAACUGGUUGGAUUAGCUGCCACUGUAACAGGGGUCUACCUGA